Molecule: long non-coding RNA, 1649 nt
Organism: Salvelinus namaycush (lake trout)
Lineage: Eukaryota; Metazoa; Chordata; Actinopteri; Salmoniformes; Salmonidae
Exons: 3
Source: RefSeq, a predicted model, not a curated record
UAAUACAUUUAUUCAAUACAUUGGAAUACAAAAUAAGCCACCCAGCAACCCAUUAUUGGCUAUUAGCAGGACAAUAGACUCUUGCCAAGAAGGAGGGUAGGGGGAGAAUUGUAUCGUUACGGAUGAAUGUUUUCAGUUAAUGCCAAACAAGUUUGAUCAAGUUGGAUCAGGUUUAAAUCAGUAGACCUCCAUUAGGCCUACCGUUCCACCUAUCCUAGAGAGGUUUAAAUCAGUAGACCUCCAUUAGGCCUACCGUUCCACCUAUCCUAGAGAGGUUAAAUCAGUAGACCUCCAUUAGGCCUACCGUCCCACCUAUCCUAGAGAGGUUUAAAUCAGUAGACCUCCAUUAGGCCUACCGUUCCACCUAUCCUAGAGAGGUUAAAUCAGUAGACCUCCAUUAGGCCUACCGUUCCACCUAUCCUAGAGAGGUUAAAUCAGUAGACCUCCAUUAGGCCUACCGUUCCACCUAUCCUAGAGAGGUUAAAUCAGUAGACCUCCAUUAGGCCUACCGUUCCACCUAUCCUAGAGAGGUUAAAUCAGUAGACCUCCAUUAGGCCUACCGUUCCACCUAUCCUAGAGAGGUUAAAUCAGUAGACCUCCAUUAGGCCUACCGUUCCACCUAUCCUAGAGAGGUUAAAUCAGUAGACCUCCAUUAGGCCUACCGUAGCUGUUGUAGGUAUUUUAUUUAUUUGUUUUUAUUUAACCUUUAUUUUACUACAUAAAGGUCUACUUACUCUGCUGGCGUCUUGACCCAGUUAAUGCCCUCAUUUGCAAUGCAAACCCGGGCAUCAGGGCGACUACUUGUUCCAGGGUUAGGACUGUAACCACCAGAGGACUUGAAAAUGAGCCGGAGCUGAGAGGAUCACCAAAACUAAAGAACAUACAACCAUGCCGACAACCAUCCGUGGCGAUCAGUGGACAAAGGGCUGGACAAUGGCCCGCACCGAAAAAAUGCAUGGUUCCUAAGAAAACGGCCACUGUAAUCGAUGGGGGCUCAGGGUGGUACCAUUCUGCCCAUCUGAUGAAGGUGCACAUGGAUCAGAUUCAAACUUUGAAGACCGAGAUCGAGUCAUUGAAGGCAGACCAGCAGAAAGAGAAGCAUUCUCUGAGGGCAGAGAUACGGGCGACAGCUGAUGCAUUGGUCCAGAGCCAGGUGGUAUUGGCGGAGAGUCAGGCACACCUUAGAGCUCUGGAACUCCACCUCCGACAGGCAGGUUUGUCUCCGACAGGCAGGUUGUUGGUUCACCCUGACAUCUCCAUUCCUCUUCUGACAACAUAACUUGAUGAACUGCUCACCAGGCACAGCAAGGGCCGUCCGGACCGUUUUGUUGUUCUGCUAUUCCAAGGAUGUGUAACCGAAGAGAGAUACCACGAGUGGACACAGAAUACCAACAGGGAUGGAUCCCGAGGCAAAUGUGGCUUACCAGUGAACCUCGGGGUUUUCAUCAUUAAUACUGUGUCUCAGAAGUUUCUGUCCAUGACUGAUGCAGCCCGAAAAAUAAUUAAAGACAGUUAAUGAUUACUUGAGGUCACCGAGAAGUCCAGACAUGGUCUGCUCUCCCUUAUGUAAGCAAUUAGGCACUUUACCAUGUGUACUAUGUACUGUAUUUUUUUUAAAUUUAUUUUAACCUUUAUUUAACCAGGUAGGC